UACGGAGGGUGCAAACGUUGCUCGGAAUCACUGGGCGUAAAGGGUGCGUAGGCGGGUCUUUAAGUCAGGGGUGAAAUCCUGGAGCUCAACUCCAGAACUGCCUUUGAUACUGAAGAUCUUGAGUUCGGGAGAGGUGAGUGGAACUGCGAGUGUAGAGGUGAAAUUCGUAGAUAUUCGCAAGAACACCAGUGGCGAAGGCGGCUCACUGGCCCGAUACUGACGCUGAGGUGCGAAAGCGUGGGGAGCAAACAGG
RNAcentral lists this ribosomal RNA (253 nucleotides) under uncultured bacterium. Its description in RNAcentral is "partial 16S ribosomal RNA". It matches the Rfam family "Bacterial small subunit ribosomal RNA", at positions 524 to 776 of the family's 1533-position model. The record is from RNAcentral.